CCUACGGGAGGCAGCAGUGGGGAAUAUUGGACAAUGGGGGCAACCCUGAUCCAGCCAUGCCUCGUGUGUGAAGAAGGCCCUCGGGUUGUAAAGCACUGUCAGUGAGGAAGAACGCCUGGUGGUUAAUACCCAUCAGGAAAGACAUCACUCACAGAAGAAGCACCGGCUAACUCCGUGCCAGCAGCCGCGGUAAUACGGAGGGUGCGAGCGUUAAUCGGAAUUACUGGGCGUAAAGCGCGCGUAGGUGGCUUGAUAAGCCGGUUGUGAAAGCCCCGGGCUCAACCUGGGAACGGCAUCCGGAACUGUCAAGCUAGAGUGCAGGAGAGGAAGGUAGAAUUCCCGGUGUAGCGGUGAAAUGCGUAGAGAUCGGGAGGAAUACCAGUGGCGAAGGCGGCCUUCUGGACUGACACUGACACUGAGGUGCGAAAGCGUGGGUAGCAAACAGGAUUAGAUACCCCUGUAGUC
RNAcentral lists this ribosomal RNA (465 nucleotides) under Vreelandella stevensii. Its description in RNAcentral is "partial 16S ribosomal RNA". It matches the Rfam family "Bacterial small subunit ribosomal RNA", at positions 338 to 795 of the family's 1533-position model. Lineage: Bacteria; Pseudomonadati; Pseudomonadota; Gammaproteobacteria; Oceanospirillales; Halomonadaceae. The record is from RNAcentral.